UACGUAGGGACCGAGCGUUGUCCGGAAUCAUUGGGCGUAAAGAGCGUGUAGGCGGCCACUUAAGUCCUGCGUGAAAUCUUGCGGCUCAACCGCAAGCGGUCGUGGGAAACUGGGUGGCUAGAGUGCGGGAGAGGAGAGUGGAAUUCCUGGUGUAGCGGUGGAAUGCGCAGAUAUCAGGAAGAACACCCGUGGCGAAGGCGGGUCUCUGGGCCGUAACUGACGCUGAGGAGCGAAAGCGUGGGGAGCGAACAGG
Molecule: ribosomal RNA, 253 nt
Filed under: uncultured bacterium
Lineage: Bacteria
Description: partial 16S ribosomal RNA
Rfam family: Bacterial small subunit ribosomal RNA
Source: RNAcentral